Molecule: long non-coding RNA, 140 nt
Organism: Coregonus clupeaformis (lake whitefish)
Lineage: Eukaryota; Metazoa; Chordata; Actinopteri; Salmoniformes; Salmonidae
Exons: 3
Source: RefSeq, a predicted model, not a curated record
AUACAAUUGAGAUUCUCCCAGAGGAUAUCCAGGCUCAAAGCAUCAGUCCACCAGCUGAACAAUCAGUCAGACUGGUGAAUGGGACCACUUCCUGUUCUGGGAAUGUGGAAAUCUUCUACGGAGGAAAGUGGUUACGUCUA